GAUGAACGCUAGCGGCAGGCUUAACACAUGCAAGUCGAGGGGUAUAGUUCUUCGGAAUUAGAGACCGGCGCACGGGUGCGUAACGCGUAUGCAAUCUACCUUUCACAGAGGGAUAGCCCCAGAGAAAUUUGGAUUAAUACCUCAUAGUAUAGCAGUUUCGCAUGAAACCACUAUUAAAGUCACAACGGUGAAAGAUGAGCAUGCGUCCCAUUAGCUAGUUGGUAAGGUAACGGCUUACCAAGGCAACGAUGGGUAGGGGUCCUGAGAGGGAGAUCCCCCACACUGGUACUGAGACACGGACCAGACUCCUACGGGAGGCAGCAGUGAGGAAUAUUGGACAAUGGGCGCAAGCCUGAUCCAGCCAUGCCGCGUGCAGGAUGACGGUCCUAUGGAUUGUAAACUGCUUUAUACAGGAAGAAACACUACUUCGUGAAGUAGCUUGACGGUACUGUAAGAUAAGGAUCGGCUAACUCCGUGCCAGCAGCCG
Molecule: ribosomal RNA, 487 nt
Filed under: uncultured bacterium
Lineage: Bacteria
Description: bacterial SSU rRNA
Rfam family: Bacterial small subunit ribosomal RNA
Source: RNAcentral